UACGGAGGGGGCUAGCGUUUGUUCGGAAUUACUGGGCGUAAAGCGCACGUAGGCGGCUUUGUAAGUUAGAGGUGAAAGCCCGGAGCUCAACUCCGGAAUUGCCUUUAAGACUGCAUCGCUAGAACGUCGGAGAGGUGAGUGGAAUUCCGAGUGUAGAGGUGAAAUUCGUAGAUAUUCGGAAGAACACCAGUGGCGAAGGCGACUCACUGGACGACUGUUGACGCUGAGGUGCGAAAGCGUGGGGAGCAACAGG
This 253-nucleotide ribosomal RNA is filed under the name uncultured bacterium. RNAcentral's name for it is "partial 16S ribosomal RNA". It matches the Rfam family "Bacterial small subunit ribosomal RNA", at positions 524 to 775 of the family's 1533-position model. The record is from RNAcentral.